GACGAACGCUGGCGGCGUGCUUAACACAUGCAAGUCGAACGGAAAGGCCCUGCUUUUGUGGGGUGCUCGAGUGGCGAACGGGUGAGUAACACGUGAGUAACCUGCCCUUGACUUUGGGAUAACUUCAGGAAACUGGGGCUAAUACCGGAUAGGAGCUCCUGCUGCAUGGUGGGGGUUGGAAAGUUUCGGCGGUUGGGGAUGGACUCGCGGCUUAUCAGCUUGUUGGUGGGGUAGUGGCUUACCAAGGCUUUGACGGGUAGCCGGCCUGAGAGGGUGACCGGCCACAAUGGGACUGAGAUACGGCCCAGACUCCUACGGGAGGCAGCAGUGGGGAAUAUUGCACAAUGGGCGGAAGCCUGAUGCAGCAACGCCGCGUGCGGGAUGACGGCCUUCGGGUUGUAAACCGCAUUCGCCUGUGACGAAGCGUGAGUGACGGUAAUGGGUAAAGAAGCACCGGCUAACUACGUG
Molecule: ribosomal RNA, 468 nt
Filed under: uncultured bacterium
Lineage: Bacteria
Description: partial 16S ribosomal RNA
Rfam family: Bacterial small subunit ribosomal RNA
Source: RNAcentral